RNAcentral lists this ribosomal RNA (532 nucleotides) under uncultured bacterium. Its description in RNAcentral is "partial 16S ribosomal RNA". It matches the Rfam family "Bacterial small subunit ribosomal RNA", at positions 355 to 873 of the family's 1533-position model. The record is from RNAcentral.
UGGGGAAUAUUGCACAAUGGGCGCAAGCCUGAUGCAGCCAUGCCGCGUGUGUGAAGAAGGCCUUCGGGUUGUAAAGCACUUUCAGCGAGGAGGAAGGUGGUGAACUUAAUACGUUCAUCAAUUGACGUUACUCGCAGAAGAAGCACCGGCUAACUCCGUGCCAGCAGCCGCGGUAAUACGGAGGGUGCAAGCGUUAAUCGGAACUACUGGGCGUAAAAGCGCACGCAGGCGGUUUGUUAAGUCAGAUGUGAAAUCCCCGGGCUCAACCUGGGAACUGCAUUUGAAACUGGCAAGCUAGAAGUCUCGUAGAGGGGGUAGAAUUCCAGGUGGUAGCGGUGAAAUGCGUAGAGAUCUGGAAGGAAUACCGGUGGCGAAGGCGGCCCCCUGACGAAGACUGACCGCUCAGGUGCGAAAGCGUGGGGAGCAAAACAGGAUUAGGAUAACCCUGGUAGUCCACGCUGUAAACGAUGUCGAUUUGGAGGUUGUGCCCUUGAGGCGUGGCUUCCGGAGCUAACGCGUUAAAUCGACCGCC